CACGUAGGGCGCAAGCGUUGUCCGGAAUUAUUGGGCGUAAAGAGCUCGUAGGUGGUUUGCUGCGUCCGCUGUGAAAACCCAAGGCUUAACCUUGGGCUUGCAGUGGAUACGGGCAGACUAGAGGUAGGUAGGGGAGAAUGGAAUUCCUGGUGUAGCGGUGGAAUGCGCAGAUAUCAGGAGGAACACCGGUGGCGAAGGCGGGUCUCUGGGCCGUUACUGACGCUGAGGAGCGAAAGCGUGGGGAGCGAACAGG
RNAcentral lists this ribosomal RNA (253 nucleotides) under uncultured bacterium. RNAcentral describes it as "partial 16S ribosomal RNA". It matches the Rfam family "Bacterial small subunit ribosomal RNA", at positions 524 to 776 of the family's 1533-position model. The record is from RNAcentral.